UGUUUUGUUUUUGCAGAGAAAUGGGUUCU
Molecule: non-coding RNA, 29 nt
Filed under: Mus musculus (house mouse)
Lineage: Eukaryota; Metazoa; Chordata; Mammalia; Rodentia; Muridae
Source: RNAcentral